CCCUUAGAUGUUCUGGGCCGCACGCGCGCUACACUGACAGAGCCAACGAGUUCUUUCCCUUGGCCAGAAGGUCUGGGUAAUCUUGUUAAACUCUGUCGUGCUGGGGAUAGAGCAUUGCAAUUAUUGCUCUUCAACGAGGAAUGCCUAGUAAGCGCGUGUCAUCAGCACGCGUUGAUUACGUCCCUGCCCUUUGUACACACCGCCCGUCGCUACUACCGAUUGAAUGGCUCAGUGAGGCCUUCGGACUGGCUCGAGGAGGUUGGCAACGACCACCUCAAGCCGGAAAGUUGGUCAAACUCGGUCAUUUAGAGGAAGUAAAAGUCGUAACA
RNAcentral lists this ribosomal RNA (329 nucleotides) under uncultured eukaryote. RNAcentral describes it as "partial 18S ribosomal RNA". It matches the Rfam family "Eukaryotic small subunit ribosomal RNA", at positions 1470 to 1796 of the family's 1831-position model. The record is from RNAcentral.